Molecule: signal recognition particle RNA, 303 nt
Filed under: Salix viminalis (osier)
Lineage: Eukaryota; Viridiplantae; Streptophyta; Magnoliopsida; Malpighiales; Salicaceae
Rfam family: Plant signal recognition particle RNA
Source: RNAcentral
GCCGAGCUCGGUAGCGUGGGCUUGUGAUCCAAGUGGAGGCAUCAGGGUGAUGUGGACAUUGAUCCUGUCCAGAUGGCCGAGUCUUGUGUGACUAAUCUCUGGCUUGCCCGUUCCAAGCCAGGAGCCGAGCCGAGUGAUCCAGGCGAAGGCUUGGGUCACUGAGCUCCUAAAGCGGGGGGCAAUGCGUGAGGCUGGUUUCACAGAGCAGCGAUAACCUCCCCCUCCUGGCAGUGGAAGGUUAACAGGCCGGUGCCACCUGGACUCGUAUGGUCUGAUGGGUUGAUCUAACUGGACCAUCGCCUU